ACGUAGGGGGCGAGCGUUAUUCGGAAUUACUGGGUGUAAAGGGUAUGUAGGCGGCCCUUCAAGUCGCGUGUCAAAGUCCAGUGCUCAACGCUGGGUGUGCGCGCGAUACUGACGGGCUUGAGGGCUGGAGAGGUGAGCGGAAUUCCCGGUGGACUGGUAAAAUGCGUAUUGAUCGGGAAGAAAACCAGCGGCGCAGGAGGCACACGAGACAAUUACUCACGCUAAUAUACCUAAGUGUGUGGACCGGACAG
Molecule: ribosomal RNA, 251 nt
Filed under: uncultured prokaryote
Description: partial 16S rRNA
Rfam family: Bacterial small subunit ribosomal RNA
Source: RNAcentral